UUUAUUUUGACACUUCCUGUUUAGCCGAAUCUGGCUUUUAUUUUGAAAAAACGGUAUGCGCAGGGAGAUCUAAUACAAAAAAAAGACAAAAGAAAAAGAUCGCUAGCGAUAAAGAGAAGGUGAAACGGCAACAAAGGUUAAAGAGAUAAGGAAUAUAGCCUCAGUCGAAAGUGGCAACAAGCUCUUACGUUGGUUUAUGACCUGCAAGGAAACUCAUUAAAGAGUCACUAAACCAUCAGUUCUGGCUAACUUCUUUCGACUGGACGCUACACUCAUGUUUUGAUCUGUCACUUCCAUGCUUAUUAAAGAGGGACUGGGAAAACUGCAUGAGAUAAUGAUCAUUCCUUAUUGCAGUGGACAUGUCAUCCUUGUGCAUUUUGCCCAGCACUGACCAAAGUUGACUUGAAAUUGGCUGGGACAUUGUGGAUUGAGCAGAUGCUAUACCAAAGACUCUCUCUCUCAACUCAGGUCCCUCUUCAACAUUAUUCUCUGGUCUUAGAGCACAUCUUUUCAUAUUUCGAGAAAGCUCUUUUCUGGAUAACAUACCUUUACAGUACAAGCAGUAAUCAUACAUCUCAGGGCUGCUGCUCUGUUUGGAACUCCUUUUCACUUUAAGACAUCCUGAUCCUGUGAUUUUAACAACUGAGUUGUGCUUGAAGUUGCCAAGGUUUCGGAAUUUCUCAAGAAGAACCUUUCUGUCCUUUGAUGAUUUGGGGAACUGGAGUGCCUGUGCGAUUUCAGCAUUUUCAUUUACAUGCCUCUCGAGAUGAUGUGCAAAUUUUGUUUGAGGUUUUCCACAUACAAAACAAUAAUUGAUGUGGCUUUUAAGGAAUUUUGCUGAUUUGGUUGGGGAUUUACUUUGGCCAAGAAUAUCCACAGUAUCCUUUUCGUUUUUUGUUUUCUACUGGUAUGACUCUGAGCUAUCUGGUUCUGGUUCGGGGUCACUUUGGAGAUCACAAGUAGUUUCUAGAUCCAUCAGGAUAUUCUUACAGUUGUCCCCACAUCCUUUAAGUACACACAAGUUGUUCUAAUCUCAUUGCAGUUGAUUAAUUUAACAUCAGUUGAAAUAUAAUUUUCCCUAACUAUCCCAGAGAAAGCAGUUCCUGUUUGUCUAUCUUUAACCAUAUUGAACUUGGCUGUAAUAACUGGAUCAAUAAAGGCAAAACUUUUAUCAAAACCCACAUCAACAAAUGAUCUCACCAAUGCCAUUGAGCCUUGUUCUGUUACAACUGCAUGGUUGAUCCUUCUUGACAGUGUUGUGCUCGUCUUUGAAUGAAUCCUGUUUCCAUUAAUUAGAGCUCUUGAAUAAAAAAAUGCACAUUGGUGAACAUCAGUGUCCUGUUCUCUGAACAGAAAUGCCUCCCUAGGUGUUGGCAUUCUUACUGUUGGUAAGCCCAGAAAGAUUAUGUUUGUCUUUUUUACACAGUUUGUGGCAAGUCUAUACCCACGUAGCAUACGGUCAACAAAAUCUGUGCUUGUUUUUUAACACUCUUAUCAUAAACAGUAGACAGAAGCCGGGGAAUACUUUGAAAAAGAGAAAAGCUAUUAGCUAUUUGUUCUGUAACUGCCUGGGUGCCAUGGAAGAGCUUUUGCAAGUUACCAUUGUGCUUUCAAAAAUAAAUGCACUUUGGCACCAUAGUGGACCCCAGUUUCGUACUGACUGUGCUGCAUGCUGUAAAAUGUGCGCAUUAAAACUAGCAUGACAUUUGCCAUACAGUCUCUCAAAGCGGCUCACAAAAGUUUUUAACAGGUUUUCAGCUACAUCUAUGUCAUGAGAACUCAUGUCAUCUUUUAAUAGUAAGUACGUUGCUUGGACAAGGAGUAGUAGGUGUUCUAGGUAAUCACAUGAUAAAAUGCCACUCAAGCAUGGAAGGCUGUAAAACAAAAGAAAAUUCCUGCACUCUGAGGCCUUCCAAUAUUUGCGCAACCUUACAGAGCGUGGAGGUCUUGUAAUAUGAACUGGUGGCUUGAUUUGAAGUAGUAGUUUAUCAAUGGUGAUUAUCUCUCUCCCCAAAUACCAUCUCUCUCCAUGAUAUUUUGAGUCAAACCAUAAAGUUGUUAAUUGCCGACUGACACCCAGUAAAAUGGCAUGCAUAUAGUCAAAAGCAAAGCCCAGAAUUAUAUUGAAAAAUGUUAAAAGCAUUAAAGGGGAUGGCCCUUUGACUCCCUUAACACAUGUGCCUGUUUCGACUGCUGUUUUAACAUCAUCAAAAUGUUGGCUGUGGGUACGUGGUCUCACAUCUCUUGUUUGUGACACACACCCUAGUGAAUCCAUUUCCUUUAGCUGCUACUUCUCCCUUCUCGUAACACCAGUUGCAUCCAUAUUCACCAUUAAAUUGCUUAGUGUUUUGGACAGAGCAGCGAGCCACCGAGUCACAUACACAGACAAGAUUAAACACAUACAUCUGUGUGCUUUGUCCUGUGUGCUGUACUGUUAGACCUGAAUGCACUCAUCAACAAACGACUGCAACAAGGAAUUCAUUUUAGGCUUAGAAGCACCAAACCACAAACCAGCCAGGAGCACAUGCCUACUUCUCAUAUCUGGGGAAAGUUCAUUAAUUACUACUUAGAUACAUUGGAUACAUUUCUUAACUGUAGACAAAAUGUGGGCAUUAAUUGAAUGGACUGAAAUGGCUGAAACGACUGAAUCAGAUGGAGUCAGAGAAAAGGCAGAAAGAUGUGUGCAAGCUGCCUGAAAAAAGAACAAUAGAAAGAAAAAGAAUAUUUAGUCUAGAAAACACCCCAUCAUUAAGUCCAGAUCAAGUCCAGAAGAGAUUUAAAAAAGUGGAAAAAACACAAAAUGACACACUAUUGCUUAAGAUAAUAGAAGAAAAAAACAAAGAAAAUGAAAAAUUAAAUGAUUUGAGAAAAGAAAUCAAAGCUUUGAGAAUAGAGAAUCAGCAACUAAAGGCUCUGAACUUUAAAUUGCAAAAUGAGAUUAUUAACAGAUUUGGAGAGUUGCUGCCUAACAGUGUAAACAAGCAUGCUGUGCCAACCUCUGUAACAAGUGCAGCUUGCAGUGCUGCCCUUCAGCCAGCCGACUCUUCACAUCUCAGUUCUUCUGAACAUGACCAUGUGACAAUACUAUUUUUAGAUUUUCUUUUCACACCAUUUAAAUAAGUCAAUUCAGUUUGUGUGUGUGUGUGUGUCUACUUAACCAUAUUUUGGGGACAAUUUUGUACCCAGAAGUGAUCAAAACCUGACAAAAUCUCCUCCUUUUGGAAGGAGGAUGUUGGCUACCCACAGCCUUUCAGGAAAAAUUGGAAAUGCCAACAAAGAAUCCCAACCCAAGCCUCCUUUGGACCCCACAAAAGUGGAACUCAUUAUAGACACUGUUCUGAAGAAAUUUCCAUCAACUCCACGAAAGUUUAUUUGGGCUGCUUUACGAGAAAAAAUGAAUGAUGAACAUAAACUCCUCUCCAGGCAGCAUAAGAAGGACACUUUUACACUGCAACAUUGAGUGGUGAAGUACAUAUAAGAGGUGAGGGCAAAUUCAUUAGAACAUAUGUGUCACGAAUACGGCUCCCGCGGCUCCUCCUCCAGGCCGCCGGAGGGAGCCAUCACCUGAAUUCUGAGUCACUUCCUUGUGGACUACGUUACCCAUAGGCCCUCAUUCCUGGGACUGAUUGCACACACCUGCAUUGCAUCACACUCACACUAUUUAAGACGCACACACGCAUCCAUACACUGCGAAGUCUUGAUUUGCCCCGGUGAUCACUACUGAGUGUUUUCUUGUGGACUGUUACCUUGCUAUCGAUUGGACUGUUUAUCAUUUGUGAACCUCUGCCGCCUGCCUUGAACCUUGCCUGUUUCCUGGAUCACGUUUGUCUGCUGCCUGCCCUGAACUCUGCCUGUUGUAAGUUUCUGUUUGUCUGCCGCCUGCCUCGACCCAAGCCUGUCCCUGUUUCUGCUACUGUCUUGCCCUUGUCUGCCUUGUGCUUUGUUGUCACAAUAAAGAAACUGCAAAUGGAUCCUCACGCUGUCAGCCCUUCAUUACAAUAUGCAUGUAAUUAUAUUUAUAAAUGUUUUAUUAGCUAAGUUAAGGCAAAAAUGUCUUUUUUUU
Ctenopharyngodon idella (grass carp) is the source of this 4063-nucleotide long non-coding RNA. RefSeq lists it as uncharacterized. The record is from RefSeq and is a predicted model, not a curated record. Lineage: Eukaryota; Metazoa; Chordata; Actinopteri; Cypriniformes; Xenocyprididae. The transcript is spliced from 7 exons.